CUUUGCAACAUUGGCGAUCGAGUCAGUAUCUCUCUCUCUCUCUCUCUACACAAAUAUGCUUAUAUAGCUUCGAAUCUAUGUAUAGUGGGCUUUGGUUCUGUGUCUUUCUGUGGAAAUUUUAGACGCCUUUUCCAUCUUUUCAAUUCUAUUGCAAAAUGUUAUACUUAUCACAAAAUCAAUCCUCUUUCCAGGACCUAGAAUUGAAAUAGUUUUUCCGACUGAUGUUGCAGUAGGUUUCUUAGUUGGUUGCUGAGAGGCCAUAGUAAACAAAGUGAAGCAGCAAUUAAAGGGGAGUUUGUUUGAUAUGUAGAAUGUUUUGAUCUGCUAGUAUUUCUU
This 336-nucleotide unclassified non-coding RNA is filed under the name Hevea brasiliensis (rubber tree). The record is from RNAcentral. Lineage: Eukaryota; Viridiplantae; Streptophyta; Magnoliopsida; Malpighiales; Euphorbiaceae.